RNAcentral lists this transfer RNA (71 nucleotides) under Candidatus Zambryskiibacteriota bacterium. Its description in RNAcentral is "Candidatus Zambryskibacteria bacterium tRNA-Gln". It matches the Rfam family "tRNA". Rfam says of the family: Transfer RNA (tRNA) molecules are approximately 80 nucleotides in length. Lineage: Bacteria; Candidatus Zambryskiibacteriota. The record is from RNAcentral.
UGCGGGGUCGUCUAACGGCAGGACAGCAGCCUUUGAAGCUGCGUAUGUAGGUCCGACUCCUACCCCCGCAG